GUUCUAGCUAUGCCAUUAAAAAGAUCAUUCCAAAUAAAUAAAUAAAAAAGAAAAAAUAAAAAAAAAGGCCCAACGGCUUGCCGCAAGACAUUGAAAACUUCAACGAGAUAGUAAUGAUAAUAUUAACAACAACAACAACAAUAAUAAUAAUAAAGCAUCAUUUUUUUUUGAAAUAAAUUCCCAUAAUUAUUGAUGACAUAAAACCAAAACAAAUUUAAAAAAAGAAAAAAAAAUUCUAGUCAAAUUGUUUGCUUACCAAUAAUGAUCAGGACAACUUUGCAAACUGAAACUUGCAUGUGGCAAUCUUUAUUGGAAAACCAAAUCGGUCCGUAUGGAUACCUUGCAUCCGAUAAAACCGGAUCAUUACUGCGACGGGUUAACAUUUUACGCGUCGCUAAAAUAUUCGCUCGUUCUCCAUACCAAGCGACAACAAUUCUCGAGAAACGCAAACAACCUCAUUGGGUUAUGGGUUAAACAACUCUAAAUUUUCUCUACUUCGUAUAUCGUUUUUGAAAAAAUUUUACUUUCUCUUCAAUUUCCUUGUUUCAAUGAAAGAGUAAGAAACGCUUAAAUUAAAAAGUAAAACUCUCUUGGAAUCAUAUUCCGUGAUUUGCUUAUCGUUGUUCCGUAGCUAUUACUCCUGCAUCUGCUGCUUGUUGACAACUUCCGCUUUGUAGUGGGAUAUUGCCUGCUUGGACUGUCAUACUCUAAUACUUUGUCUCUACUCAUCGUUAAAAUGUUUGUAGCAACCUAAAUUGUCGUCACAUUUGCAUUUACCACAAUCUGUCAGCUUUUUGCCGCUCUGAGUAUUUUUUCCUUGCUCUUGUUACUUUGGCUGCUCGCGCGUUCGAUAAGCUCUUCGGCGAAGUGAGAGUCAAUUUAACAUGGUUCCCCAGUCUAUAACAUCUGGAAGCAAAAAUGGCUCAUAUAGUUGGCAUCGCCACUACUGACUGUUCGAACGGCUUCCCCACUAAGCAUGGCUUUCUAACUUUUAUCUUAACAGACCAAGGCAGUCUGCUAAUAGCGAGACUUGCUGAUAUCGCCAACAGAGCCUUCGCAGUGGUCCUUGGGGGAAGGGUAAUUGAUUUUCAGAGAGGUAAAAUUAACAGCGUUCUAUAAUGUAACAUAUUUCGCUAUGGUAUUUUUUUUUAUAACUUUAUUUUGGUUGAUGUGACAAGGAUUUAAACAUUGACAAAAAAACAGUCGUGCAAGUGGGUGAAUGUAAACUACAAGGAGUGGCACAAACUAAUCAGAUAAGUCGCAAACUAACUGGUGCGCAAAAUAUGUACGUACAUAUACACAUACACUUGUAAAUACAUAUACUAAUAAUGGAUCUCUUGAAUCUAACCAAGUCGUAAUACAAUCUUUUAACUCCUUACCUUGUAAUGUUGCGUUUCUCGGAUUCUUUGUGAUUUUCGUUUCUGAACAUUUAAUUUAAUUUAAUUUAGUAUGAUUUAUUUUUAUUUUUUUUCUGUGAGUUUUUCAAUCCUCGUUUCUGCACAAUUACGAAAAACAAUAUUUGAAUUAUUAAAUUGAAAGCGUUGCAUUGUCAUACUGCUACAUAUUACUCAAAACACAACCAUGACCAACGUAUCAGUAUUUCUAAUGCGUUCAAAUUCAUGCGUAUGGAUGAAUUUUGGAAGGAAUAAGUAGCACUGCUUCAAAGUUGUUUUUCCAUAUAGGUAACCAGCUAAUUUGACGCAUCAUUCGGGUUGUUUCGUGUUUGUCUUUAAAAACAAUCUCCCAUCUUUUUUAAGGGGCUAUGUGGGGGAGAGAGCAUAGGGGUUGCGAGUACUAGUUCUGCUACCCUCAGUUUACUCGAAAUCGCUGUAUCAACAUGAGUGGGGGUUGUCCUAACAUUUCCUAGCUGCAUCCAAUAUUCAUAAAGUCCCUUGUGGGGGCCAUAUAAAGGAAAGGCUAUCCCCUUAUUUGUUAAGAGCAGUGGGUAUGUACAUCGAUUUGAUAAUAAAUUUUAAGUUAUGCUUUUGUUUUUCUCGAUUUAAAAUAAAAAAUCUUUGGGUCUUUAUUUUAGCAGUUAUUGGUUAAACUAACUUCCGUAUUCACUGCAUGCACAUGCUAGUUACUCAAUGCUGGGUUGUAAUUAAUCAACGACAAUGGUGCAUAUACAAACACAAAUAAACCGCUCUAAUUAUUAAUUUCUAAUGCAACCGGAUCACUCUCUUUCAUAGUUACUCGCUGUUUUCAGAGAAGAAUUUUGUUCAUUUGUCUUCCUUGCUUGUUUAAAGUUGUUAAAAGUACGCAUCGUUUUUGUUUUGUAAUCUGUUUGAUUCGGAAUAAUUGAUUUUUUCAACCAUUGUUCCUGAAAUAAAAUAAAAUUACUAGCCUUAGAAAACCAUUACACUUCAAUUAGAAUGGACAGAAAAACAACACCACACAAAAAAAAAGAAAUGAUUGGAUUAUAAACGAAAGCACGAGCGUAAUACUUUUCUCUAGAAUUGACCUUAAUAUAAAAUAAAUGCGUAACAAUAAC
Schizosaccharomyces pombe (fission yeast) is the source of this 2491-nucleotide non-coding RNA. The record is from the annotation of a GenBank genome assembly. Lineage: Eukaryota; Fungi; Ascomycota; Schizosaccharomycetes; Schizosaccharomycetales; Schizosaccharomycetaceae.